RNAcentral lists this ribosomal RNA (500 nucleotides) under Aquabacterium citratiphilum. RNAcentral describes it as "bacterial SSU rRNA". It matches the Rfam family "Bacterial small subunit ribosomal RNA", at positions 380 to 873 of the family's 1533-position model. The record is from RNAcentral. Lineage: Bacteria; Pseudomonadati; Pseudomonadota; Betaproteobacteria; Burkholderiales; Sphaerotilaceae.
AGCCUGAUCCAGCAAUGCCGCGUGCAGGAAGAAGGCCUUCGGGUUGUAAACUGCUUUUGUCAGGGAAGAAAUCCUCUGGGUUAAUACCUCGGGGGGAUGACGGUACCUGAAGAAUAAGCACCGGCUAACUACGUGCCAGCAGCCGCGGUAAUACGUAGGGUGCGAGCGUUAAUCGGAAUUACUGGGCGUAAAGCGUGCGCAGGCGGUUGUGCAAGACAGGUGUGAAAUCCCCGGGCUUAACCUGGGAACUGCACUUGUGACUGCACGGCUAGAGUACGGUAGAGGGGGAUGGAAUUCCGCGUGUAGCAGUGAAAUGCGUAGAUAUGCGGAGGAACACCGAUGGCGAAGGCAAUCCCCUGGACCUGUACUGACGCUCAUGCACGAAAGCGUGGGGAGCAAACAGGAUUAGAUACCCUGGUAGUCCACGCCCUAAACGAUGUCAACUGGUUGUUGGACGGCUUGCUGUUCAGUAACGAAGCUAACGCGUGAAGUUGACCGCC